CACUGGUGUGCAAUGUUUGCUACUCCUUGUCUGCCUGUGUUUCAGUUGCCUUCCUGUAUUGCUAUCAGAGCAUUUGGUGGCUGGUGCUUGUCCCCCAUCCGUGUGCCCUCCUGACCUGCCCAGACGGCAUCCGGUGGCAAAGGUGUACAGACUUUUGUUUUCUUUUAUGUUUUAAUGGGGCAGGUUAAUGGCCAGCUGCCUCCCUCAACAGUCUUUCCUAAGGUGGAGGUAGUCAAAAUAAUAAAAAAUAAAAAUAAAAACAAAAGUUGCUCUAUAGGCUUCAGCCAAAAUAGCAGCAAACGUGGGCCCUUGCAGGAGGCACCAACACUAAUUAUCCAAUUUGCCUCUGUAUAACCUCAGCAGUUGCUUUUGGUUACCUGCUUAUGCAGACAAAUCAGAUUAUUCCUCUGUCUGUGCUGAUACCAGCUGAGUAUAAUCAAGUGAUUCCUGUGCAACUGCCAGCUAUAGCAAGUGGAGAUGGCCCCGCCCACUCUAAAUUCAGCAGACUAGAACGCUGCUUCAGAAGCCUCAGAUCCUGCCACACACCGACCGAACUUCUGCAAGAGGCCCGCAACCUACCUUGCGCCAGAUGAUCCCCACAGCCAAUGGUGUCAAACAGCCUGAAGGAAAACAAUUGGGAAUAAAAUAACAAACUGUAACCAAAAUAAAGGAGAAAAUUAGUCAAAAUGAAAAUAGGGGUAACAAAGCCAAAAAUAAAAAAGAGAUUAUUAACGGUUAAUGAUAUUGUCAGAAAAAUGGAAGCUCAGCAAGGUCGUUAACAGCCUUUCGAUCUUAUUGUUACUUAUUCUUUGCAGGGAAACCAGUUCACCCUUCACAAGCUGCUAUGUCUAUUUUUCUUAGGGGUAUUUAUAAAAGAACACUUUUACAUAAAUGUAACUGAAAAUGUAUACAUAAUCACUAGAUUGGUGAGAUAACAUACAAAGUAGCACAACUGUAUCGUUUGGCUGACUGUAGCCACAAGAAGGCUGUAAAGUUCCAUCUAUGGUGUAUUAAACAAUAAACUUCAAUUUAACAGUCCA
Molecule: long non-coding RNA, 1040 nt
Organism: Xenopus laevis (African clawed frog)
Lineage: Eukaryota; Metazoa; Chordata; Amphibia; Anura; Pipidae
Exons: 2
Source: RefSeq, a predicted model, not a curated record